CCUACGCGAGGCAGCAGUGGGGAAUAUUGCACAAUGGGGGAAACCCUGAUGCAGCGACGCCGCGUGAGUGAAGAAGUAUUUCGGUAUGUAAAGCUCUAUCAGCAGGGAAGAUAAUGACGGUACCUGAGUAAGAAGCCUCGGCUAACUACGUGCCAGCAGCCGCGGUAAUACGUAGGGGGCAAGCGUUAUCCGGAUUUACUGGGUGUAAAGGGAGCGUAGACGGGAUGGCAAGUCUGAAGUGAAAGCCAGGGGCUCAACCGCGGGACUGCUUUGGAAACUGUUAAGCUGGAGUGCAGGAGAGGUAAGUGGAAUUCCUGGUGUAGCGGUGAAAUGCGUAGAUAUUAGGAGGAACACCAGUGGCGAAGGCGGCUUACUGGACUGUAACUGACGUUGAGGCUCGAAAGCGUGGGGAGCGAACAGGAUUAGAUACCCCUGUAGUC
Molecule: ribosomal RNA, 440 nt
Filed under: uncultured bacterium
Lineage: Bacteria
Description: partial 16S ribosomal RNA
Rfam family: Bacterial small subunit ribosomal RNA
Source: RNAcentral